This is a long non-coding RNA of Oncorhynchus tshawytscha (Chinook salmon), 631 nucleotides long. Lineage: Eukaryota; Metazoa; Chordata; Actinopteri; Salmoniformes; Salmonidae. The record is from Ensembl.
UGGCUGUCAGCCAAUCAGCAUUCAGGGCUCGAACCCCCCCAGUUUAUAAUGCCCUGUAGAUUACGUGGAAUUUCAGUCCACUUGAAUCAUGUACUGUCUCCUCAGUGGCAACAUUCCCAUGUCAGACAAUGUAUUUCCAGAGAACUUGGCUGGCCAAACAGGGAGAGACUCACAGCUAAAGCAAGGGCUCCAUCUCCUGGUUGAUGCAUCAAAACCCAUUCCUGAGGUGCUGCCAGCCCUCCCGCCGGUGGAAUAUCUGGUUGGAAUUGAAGGGACGGCAGGACACACACACAGUGACUGGGACAUAUAGACCAUCUAGAUGACGACUACGUGCGUGAAUGGCAAUGCAGGAAGUACCAAAGUGUGUUUUUGUGCGUGCGGCAUCCAUUUGAGCUGUUUCCCCUCCCUCCUCCGCUGGGUGAGGACACGGCGAGAUGAAUCGAAGCACCUACACCUACGGCAGUGCUGCUGUCUAGAUCUGCUGCUGUCUCUAACCUUGUCCUCUUUAACCUUCACACCUCCUGAUUUCCCUCCUGUGAAACCACACACUGACUGGGACAUGUGCUAUAGGUUGAGCUUCAGUAUCAGCAAACUGGUUUGAUAUUGGGAGUGGCGAAAUAGCAUGGUACCG